UCUGGCAAGAACACAUUGUUCAAUUACUUCCAGAGAUCUCCGGUCACUCAACUCAGUCCUUCAAAUCCGAAGAAGAUCAAUGAGACUCCUGAUAAGUCCUCUGAGAAAAAACGCAAAGCGGACUCUGUUCUAAAGGCUAGAGAUGAUAACCAACCGAAGACCCCAACCAGUCGACGAGGUUCCUCUAAAACUCCAGCGAAAGAGAAAAAGAGAGUCAAACUAGAAGAAGAUGAAGAGGUGGAGGAUGAAGUAACUCCUGAAU
Molecule: non-coding RNA, 262 nt
Organism: Bemisia tabaci
Lineage: Eukaryota; Metazoa; Arthropoda; Insecta; Hemiptera; Aleyrodidae
Source: RefSeq, a predicted model, not a curated record